AUUGAACGCUGGCGGCAUGCCUUACACAUGCAAGUCGAACGGUAACAGGUCUUCGGAUGCCGACGAGUGGCGAACGGGUGAGUAAUGCAUCGGAACGUACCUUUCAGUGGGGGAUAACGUAGCGAAAGUUACGCUAAUACCGCAUAUUCUGUGAGCAGGAAAGCAGGGGAUCGCAAGACCUUGCGCUGAUUGAGCGGCCGAUGUCAGAUUAGCUAGUUGGUGAGGUAAAGGCUCACCAAGGCGACGAUCUGUAGCGGGUCUGAGAGGAUGAUCCGCCACACUGGGACUGAGACACGGCCCAGACUCCUACGGGAGGCAGCAGUGGGGAAUUUUGGACAAUGGGCGAAAGCCUGAUCCAGCCAUGCCGCGUGCAGGAAGAAGGCCUUCGGGUUGUAAACUGCUUUAGUCUAGGAAAAAGGGGUGCGAGGUUAAUACCCUCGUGCUUUGAUGGUACUGGAAGAAUAAGCACCGGCUAACUACGUG
This 483-nucleotide ribosomal RNA is filed under the name uncultured bacterium. Its description in RNAcentral is "bacterial SSU rRNA". It matches the Rfam family "Bacterial small subunit ribosomal RNA", at positions 30 to 507 of the family's 1533-position model. The record is from RNAcentral.